AACUCUGAGCAGUGGAUCAUUCGGCUCAUGAGUCGAUGAAGAAUGCAGCCAGCUGCGACACUUGGUGUGAAUUGCAGAACACAUUGGGCACUGACUUUUCGAACGCGCAUUGUGAUUUCGGGUGAUACCCGGGAGCUCGUCUGUCUGAUGGUCG
This 154-nucleotide ribosomal RNA is filed under the name Stegodyphus mimosarum. RNAcentral's name for it is "5.8S ribosomal RNA". It matches the Rfam family "5.8S ribosomal RNA". From Rfam's summary of the family: 5.8S ribosomal RNA (5.8S rRNA) is a component of the large subunit of the eukaryotic ribosome. It is transcribed by RNA polymerase I as part of the 45S precursor that also contains 18S and 28S rRNA. The record is from Rfam by way of RNAcentral. Lineage: Eukaryota; Metazoa; Arthropoda; Arachnida; Araneae; Eresidae.